RNAcentral lists this ribosomal RNA (570 nucleotides) under uncultured bacterium. Its description in RNAcentral is "partial 16S ribosomal RNA". It matches the Rfam family "Bacterial small subunit ribosomal RNA", at positions 355 to 914 of the family's 1533-position model. The record is from RNAcentral.
UGGGGAAUUUUGGACAAUGGGGGAAACCCUGAUCCAGCCAUCCCGCGUGUGCGAUGAAGGCCUUCGGGUUGUAAAGCACUUUUGGCAGGAAAGAAACGUCGCGGGUUAAUACCCCGCGAAACUGACGGUACCUGCAGAAUAAGCACCGGCUAACUACGUGCCAGCAGCCGCGGUAAUACGUAGGGUGCAAGCGUUAAUCGGAAUUACUGGGCGUAAAGCGUGCGCAGGCGGUUCGGAAAGAAAGAUGUGAAAUCCCAGAGCUUAACUUUGGAACUGCAUUUUUAACUACCGGGCUAGAGUGUGUCAGAGGGAGGUGGAAUUCCGCGUGUAGCAGUGAAAUGCGUAGAUAUGCGGAGGAACACCGAUGGCGAAGGCAGCCUCCUGGGAUAACACUGACGCUCAUGCACGAAAGCGUGGGGAGCAAACAGGAUUAGAUACCCUGGUAGUCCACGCCCUAAAACGAUGUCAACUAGCUGUUGGGGGCCUUCGGGCCUUGGUAGCGCAGCUAACGCGUGAAGUUGACCGCCUGGGGAGUACGGUCGCAAGAUUAAAAACUCAAAAUGAAUUGAC